CCUGCCACAGCCGGAUAAUCGGGAGAAAUUCCGUCUAAUACGGCAUAAUGCAUCGACGGGACAUCCUGUUGGUGCCAAAGGUUAAUUCCGGUGGCGGAUGGGCAUGCGUCGCAUUAGUUAGUUGGCGGUGUAACGGACCACCAAGACGACGAUGCGUAGGGGUUCUGAGAGGAAGGUCCCCCACACUGGUACUGAGACACGGACCAGACUCCUACGGGAGGCAGCAG
RNAcentral lists this ribosomal RNA (227 nucleotides) under uncultured bacterium. Its description in RNAcentral is "partial 16S ribosomal RNA". It matches the Rfam family "Bacterial small subunit ribosomal RNA", at positions 129 to 354 of the family's 1533-position model. The record is from RNAcentral.